AACGAACGCUGGCGGCAUGCCUAACACAUGCAAGUCGAACGAGACCUUCGGGUCUAGUGGCGCACGGGUGCGUAACGCGUGGGAACCUGCCCUUAGGUUCGGAAUAACUCCCCGAAAGGGGUGCUAAUACCGGAUAAUGUCUUCGGACCAAAGAUUUAUCGCCUUUGGAUGGGCCCGCGUUGGAUUAGCUAGUUGGUAGGGUAAAAGCCUACCAAGGCGACGAUCCAUAGCUGGUCUGAGAGGAUGAUCAGCCACACUGGGACUGAGACACGGCCCAGACUCCUACGGGAGGCAGCAGUGGGGAAUAUUGGACAAUGGGCGAAAGCAUGAUCCAGCAAUGCCGCGUGAGUGAUGAAGGCCUUAGGGUUGUAAAGCUCUUUUAACCGGGAUGAUAAUGACAGUACCGGGAGAAUAAGCGCCGGCUAACUCCGUG
Molecule: ribosomal RNA, 433 nt
Filed under: uncultured bacterium
Lineage: Bacteria
Description: partial 16S ribosomal RNA
Rfam family: Bacterial small subunit ribosomal RNA
Source: RNAcentral